Molecule: ribosomal RNA, 497 nt
Filed under: uncultured bacterium
Lineage: Bacteria
Description: partial 16S ribosomal RNA
Rfam family: Bacterial small subunit ribosomal RNA
Source: RNAcentral
GAUGAACGCUGGCGGCGUGCCUAAUACAUGCAAGUCGAGCGAACAGACGAGGAGCUUGCUCCUCUGACGUUAGCGGCGGACGGGUGAGUAACACGUGGAUAACCUACCUAUAAGACUGGGAUAACUUCGGGAAACCGGAGCUAAUACCGGAUAAUAUAUUGAACCGCAUGGUUCAAUAGUGAAAGACGGUUUUGCUGUCACUUAUAGAUGGAUCCGCGCCGCAUUAGCUAGUUGGUAAGGUAACGGCUUACCAAGGCAACGAUGCGUAGCCGACCUGAGGGGGUGAUCGGCCACACUGGAACUUAGACACGGUCCAGACUCCUACGGGAGGCAGCAGUAGGGAAUCUUCCGCAAAGGGCGAAAGCUUGACGGAGCAACGCCGCGUGAGUGAUGAAGGUCUUCGGAUCGUAAAACUCUGUUAUUAGGGAAGAACAAAUGUGUAAGUAACUAUGCACGUCUUGACGGUACCUAAUCAGAAAGCCACGGCUAACUACGUG